GACGAACGCUGGCGGCGUGCUUAACACAUGCAAGUCGAACGGAAAGGCCCCUUUGGGGGUACUCGAGUGGCGAACGGGUGCGUAACACGUGAGUAACCUGCCCUUGACUUCGGGAUAACUUCAGGAAACUGGGGCUAAUACCGGAUAGGAAUCCUUGCUGCAUGGUGGGGGUUGGAAAGCUUCGGCGGUUUUGGCUGGACUCGCGGCUUAUCAGCUUGUUGGUGGGGUAGUGGCUUACCAAGGCUUUGACGGGUAGCCGGCCUGAGAGGGCGACCGGCCACAUUGGGACUGAGAUACGGCCCAGACUCCUACGGGAGGCAGCAGUGGGGAAUAUUGAACAAUGGGCGGAAGCCUGAUGCAGCAACGCCGCGUGCGGGAUGACGGCCUUCGGGUUGUAAACCGCUUUCAGCAGGGGCGAAGCUUGUGGUGACGGUACCUGCAGAAGAAGCACCGGCUAACUACGUG
RNAcentral lists this ribosomal RNA (465 nucleotides) under uncultured bacterium. RNAcentral's name for it is "partial 16S ribosomal RNA". It matches the Rfam family "Bacterial small subunit ribosomal RNA", at positions 28 to 507 of the family's 1533-position model. The record is from RNAcentral.